This 73-nucleotide transfer RNA is filed under the name Synechococcus phage S-PM2. Its description in RNAcentral is "tRNA-Ile". The record is from RNAcentral. Lineage: Duplodnaviria; Heunggongvirae; Uroviricota; Caudoviricetes; Pantevenvirales; Kyanoviridae.
UUGAUUAUGUUAAAAAUAUCAUGAUCGCAGCAAUGCGUAAUUUCGAUUAUUUGAUUAGAGAUUGUGUCAUUAC